Molecule: ribosomal RNA, 907 nt
Filed under: Wardomycopsis humicola
Lineage: Eukaryota; Fungi; Ascomycota; Sordariomycetes; Microascales; Microascaceae
Description: LSU rRNA
Rfam family: Eukaryotic large subunit ribosomal RNA
Source: RNAcentral
GCAUAUCAAUAAGCGGAGGAAAAAGAAACCAACAGGGAUUGCCCUAGUAACGGCGAGUGAAGCGGCAACAGCUCAAAUUUGAAAUCUGGUCCCCCCCGCGGGGGCCCCGAGUUGUAAUUUGAAGAGGAUGCUUUUGGCGAGGCGCCUUCCGAGUGCCCUGGAACGGGACGCCACAGAGGGUGAGAGCCCCGUAUGGUUGGACGCCGAGCCUCUGUAAAGCUCCUUCGACGAGUCGAGUAGUUUGGGAAUGCUGCUCAAAAUGGGAGGUAAACCCCUUCUAAAGCUAAAUACUGGCCAGAGACCGAUAGCGCACAAGUAGAGUGAUCGAAAGAUGAAAAGCACUUUGAAAAGAGAGUUAAACAGCACGUGAAAUUGUUGAAAGGGAAGCGCUUGCGACCAGACUCGCGCCCGCCGGAUCAGCCGUCGCUCGUCGGCGGCGCACUCCGGCGGGCUCGGGCCAGCAUCGGUUCGCCCGGGGGGAGAAAGGCGGCGGGAACGUGGCUCUGCGGAGUGUUAUAGCCCGCCGCGUAAUACCCUAGGGCGGACCGAGGACCGCGCGUAUGCAAGGAUGCUGGCGUAAUGGUCGUCAGCGACCCGUCUUGAAACACGGACCAAGGAGUCGUCCUAGUAUGCGAGUGUUCGGGUGUCAAACCCCUGCGCGUAAUGAAAGUGAACGGAGGUGAGAGCUUCGGCGCAUCAUCGACCGAUCCUGAUGUUCUCGGAUGGAUUUGAGUAAGAGCAUACUGGGCCGGACCCGAAAGAAGGUGAACUAUGCCUGUAUAGGGUAAAGCCAGAGGAAACUCUGGUGGAGGCUCGCAGCGGUUCUGACGUGCAAAUCGAUCGUCAAAUAUGGGCAUGGGGGGCGAAAGACUAAUCGAACCCUUCUAGUAGCUGGGUUUCCGCGAAG